AGUCACAUCUGCGCAUGACGGAGACAUUAAAAUCAACUUUACAUGUGACGGGACAUAUCGUGAACUUAGCUGCAGCGGCGACAAGAAGAUAAUUGUAGUUGGAGCGACAUCAACUGCAACACCACCAACGUCAACGCCUGCAUCAUCUCCAACUACAUCGACAUCGACAGGAAGUGACACCACA
Long non-coding RNA from Haliotis rubra (blacklip abalone), 184 nucleotides. RefSeq lists it as uncharacterized. The record is from RefSeq and is a predicted model, not a curated record. The transcript has 4 exons. Lineage: Eukaryota; Metazoa; Mollusca; Gastropoda; Lepetellida; Haliotidae.